AGCGGCGGACGGGUGAGUAACACGUGGGCAACCUGCCUGUAAGACUGGGAUAACUUCGGGAAACCGGAGCUAAUACCGGAUAAUCCUUUCCCUCUCAUGAGGGAAAGCUGAAAGACGGUUUCGGCUGUCACUUACAGAUGGGCCCGCGGCGCAUUAGCUAGUUGGUGAGGUAACGGCUCACCAAGGCGACGAUGCGUAGCCGACCUGAGAGGGUGAUCGGCCACACUGGGACUGAGACACGGCCCAGACUCCUACGGGAGGCAGCAGUAGGGAAUCUUCCGCAAUGGACGAAAGUCUGACGGAGCAACGCCGCGUGAGCGAUGAAGGCCUUCGGGUCGUAAAGCUCUGUUGUUAGGGAAGAACAAGUAUCGGAGUAACUGCCGGUACCUUGACGGUACCUAACCAGAAAGCCACGGCUAACUACGUGCCAGCAGCCGCGGUAAUACGUAGGUGGCAAGCGUUGUCCGGAAUUAUUGGGCGUAAAGCGCGCGCAGGCGGUCCUUUAAGUCUGAUGUGAAAUCUCGCGGCUCAACCGCGAGCGGUCAUUGGAAACUGGGGGACUUGAGUGCAGAAGAGGAAAGUGGAAUUCCACGUGUAGCGGUGAAAUGCGUAGAGAUGUGGAGGAACACCAGUGGCGAAGGCGACUUUCUGGUCUGUAACUGACGCUGAGGCGCGAAAGCGUGGGGAGCAAACAGGAUUAGAUACCCUGGUAGUCCACGCCGUAAACAAUUAUGCUAAGUGUUAGAGGGUUUCCGCCCUUUAGUGCUGCAGCUAACGCAUUAA
RNAcentral lists this ribosomal RNA (783 nucleotides) under uncultured bacterium. RNAcentral's name for it is "bacterial SSU rRNA". It matches the Rfam family "Bacterial small subunit ribosomal RNA", at positions 94 to 863 of the family's 1533-position model. The record is from RNAcentral.